This is a long non-coding RNA of Brassica napus (rape), 1536 nucleotides long. RefSeq lists it as uncharacterized. NCBI's taxonomy places the organism in Eukaryota, Viridiplantae, Streptophyta, Magnoliopsida, Brassicales, Brassicaceae. The transcript has 3 exons. The record is from RefSeq and is a predicted model, not a curated record.
GUUGAAACUUUAUAUAAGUUUAACCGUUGGUGAGUCAUUUACAUGUGACAUUAAAAACUGUACCACCAUGUCCUACUGCACCUCUAAAUGUAUACGAUGAUCUAUAUAAACAUCCAUGAAUUAUAAAGGUUUGGGAAUAUGAAUAGCAAAUAUAGUAGUCUCACCACUGUUCAAAACUUUCAUAUCAUUAACGACCAUGCAUCCAAAAGAGAACAAGAACAAUCAAAUCAAACCAAACCAAAGAUUAUUAGUCAAACUUGUCUUCGUUGUUACGUAUUAGAAACAUGGGAAAACCCCAUGUUUAAUUUACAAAAUAAUAGUUCCAUAUUUGUGAAAAAAAAACAAAAGAAUUGGGAAUUUACAAAAUAAUAGUUCCAUAUUAUGUCAAAAGUACUGAACUUUAGUAGUUAAACGCUGCGUUUUAACAUGUUUGCUUGCUAGACUCUCUCACUUGUUGUCAGAGUUGUGGAUGGACUCAUCAGUUUUGUGCAUGCAUACCUUAUAUAUGAUAUCAAAGGAUCAAACUUUUGUUUGUUUCUUUGUUAAAACGCUGCGUUUUAAGAUGUUGCUAGACUCUCUCUCACUUGUUUUGAUGGUAGUUAUUGUGAGAGUUGUGGAUUGUGUAUAGACUUGUGAUUGGUGCGUUGUUGUGUGUUGGCUUCUUAAGUAGAGUGAGUGAGUGAGAGAGUGAACAUGGACUCGUGUAUCAUGAUGUCAAAAGUAUUGAACUUUGGUAGUUAAACGCUGCGUUUAAGAUUGUUUGCUAGACUCUCUCACUUGAUUUAUCAUAUUACUCAAUAAAGUUCUGAUUCUUAUCAUGUGUUACUCUGUUUAAACUGGCAGAUUGUUCGUGGUACUUUAGCUCUACCACACUCUGUUAAAAAGGUACAAGAAACGCCUCUCUAAUCCCUGAUAGUAAUCAGCUCUUUAUGUGAUAUGAAGAAAUGAUCUUACUUGUUCAGGAUGUGAAAGUGGCUUUCUUUGCCGAGGGUUCUGAUGCAGAGGAUGCAAAGGCUGCAGGAGCUGAUGUCGUCGGUGGUCUUGAAUUUCAUUAGAUCUCUUCUUAACAAGAACACUUUCAUAAGCAGAUGAGCUUUCCUGAGGAUGCUUUGCGAGAGAAUGUUGGUGCAUUUAUGAACGCUCUUUUGCUGGCUAAGCCUGCCGGAUUGAAAAAGACUUCAAAAUAUGCUGGUUAUGUGAAUGCAUUCCACUUGUGCAGUACGAUGGGAAAGGGUUAAUCCUGUAUCGAUACAGUCGUUGUCUAGAGCAGCGGAUCACUAUACCAAAUUGCAGCUCAAGUUAGCAGUAGCCUCAAAAAGGAUAAAGGCUUGUUGGAGAGUACCGAAUUGGAUUUUGUUGUUUGAGAGCAUAUAAAACGAGGGGAGUGUGCACAAUUCUGCUUGAUACAAUCUGUCUCUCAUGUCAUUUCAUAAUAAUAUGAGAAUGUUUUUGCUACUCAUCAAACAUCACUCAUUGAUUCAUUUUUUUGUGUGUCCGUUAUAAAAUAUGAUAUGGAUCUUGCACAUGUUAAGGCCC